UACAGAGGUCUCAAGCGUUGUUCGGAUUCAUUGGGCGUAAAGGGUGCGUAGGCGGCGCGGUAAGUCGGGUGUGAAAUUUCGAGGCUUAACUUCGAAACUGCAUUCGAUACUGCCGUGCUUGAGGACUGGAGAGGAGACUGGAAUUUACGGUGUAGCGGUGAAAUGCGUAGAUAUCGUAAGGAAGACCAGUGGCGAAGGCGGGUCUCUGGACAGUUCCUGACGCUGAGGCACGAAAGCCAGGGGAGCGAACGGG
RNAcentral lists this ribosomal RNA (253 nucleotides) under uncultured bacterium. RNAcentral's name for it is "partial 16S ribosomal RNA". It matches the Rfam family "Bacterial small subunit ribosomal RNA", at positions 524 to 776 of the family's 1533-position model. The record is from RNAcentral.